Long non-coding RNA from Brassica napus (rape), 3649 nucleotides. RefSeq lists it as uncharacterized. The record is from RefSeq and is a predicted model, not a curated record. The transcript is spliced from 3 exons. Lineage: Eukaryota; Viridiplantae; Streptophyta; Magnoliopsida; Brassicales; Brassicaceae.
GAUGUCGAUGUCACUGCAUUGCAUAUAUAUUUAUUUAAGUUUUGCAUUUCUGUAUUGUAAAUAAAGGUAUUUAAAUGGAUAUUCAAUCUGGAUUAAUUUGAUCACUAUAAUUUCAAAACUUCAGCCAUUGCCAAACUUGUCAAUAAAGCUAAAAAAAUAACAACUUUUCGAAGAUCAUUCCAAACAUUCAAGAAGUUUUAUAUCUUUUAGAGAUAAAAUGCAAUUUUUGAUUCUAUUCCUAGAACUACAAAAUCUUUUUAUAGAGAACUUCUUAUGAUGGUUGUUUUAUUUUGGUUCUACACUAUUUCUAUUUUGAGAAAUAAACUAAAUUUUUUAAUUUUAUUAAGUAUUUAUAAUAUUUUUUGAAAGUUUAAUAUUAUUAAAUUUUUAUAACACCUUCUUAAAGUUUUCGGAAUAUCGUCAUGUAUUUGAUAUCUAAAUUGUAUAAGGAUGCUAUACAUAUUUAAAAGCAUCUUCGUAAAUUUUUAAAAAUUGUAAUAUAAUGAUUCAUAUUUUUCUAAAUAUGCAUAUAAAUCAAAUUCAGGAAUAUAACAUUCAUAUUUUAGAAGAACUUCCUAAAUAUAUAUACAAGUUAUAUUUGAUAAGUCUAUUUAUACAUUUUUGAAGACAUUCAUGAAUUUGAGAAUUUUUAUAAAUUCAUGAAGAUAUAAUACAUGUUCAUAAAAUUCUUCCUAAUUUUUUUAAAGAAAAAAUGUUUUUCCAGAAAAAAAAAUGGAAAGAAAUUUUUUAAAAUAGUUUCAAUUUUUUUCAAUUUUAUUAUUUUGAUUUUUAAUAUUUAUUUAUUUUUAUUUAAUAAGUAAUUAAUUAUAAUUAUAAAUGAGUAUAGAAUUGUCAUUUCACCAUUUAAUGAUACGUAUUUUGCUCACUUUGAUUUUUGAAGCUAUUUAGAAAACCAAAAAGUGACUAUAAAAUCACCAAAUAAAGAGAUUCAAACUAUUUAGAAAACUAAAAAAUGGUUAUAAAAUCUUCUCUAUAUUAAAAGGAAUCAAUUAUCACGUGAUGGUGGCCACCAUGGGGGGGUCAAGUUGUCCAUAAGAGAAUAUGGCCUAUGCCUAUAGUGUUGUUUGGUGAGAAAAUACAAGACAAUGGACAAUGUGGGACCAGUCACAAGUGGCUUGAAUCUCUUUAUUUGCAAUAUAAAAUGAAUAUUUGAUUUUUACUAAUUGAACAUCUUUUACGAUAUCGAGUCGCAUUUUGCGUACUAGCCAAUGCAAUGAAAUCAAUAGAUUGUGAUAUUUGAUUUUGUAGGGUUGAACAACUAAAAUAAAGACUAAAUCGAAAUGAUUGCAAUUUCUAAAUAUAUAUAUAACUGAAUAAAAAAGAGUACAAAAAGCGUGUUUGGAAAAUAAUAUAAAGGAAAAGUUUCUCAUCCGAGUUUUUUUACCUAUAUAACAUUAAUAUAAUUAUGUCAUGGAUGAAUUUGUUGUACACUCAUAAGAAAGCAAAAAAUAAAAUAAAAAUAAAAUCAUGCUACAAUGGUAAUUGUUAGAUGAGACAAUUUGAACAUAAUUUUGAUCUUAUACAUCCAUGUGUAAGCGCAUGCGCUUAUAUUUGAAAUACAUUAUGCGACGUAACAUCCGGUAUCGAUUAACGAUCCAGUCUGCUAGCAUUAUCUUUAUAACUAGUGUGUCGUUGUGUAGCCAGUCUAAGUUUUCCAUUUCUUACUCUAUAAACUUUAUGAUUGCGUCAUCUUUUAUCAUAUCUCUAGCUCUUGUGGACACAGAGAUUACUCUAUUGCCAUAGUCCUUUAUUGCCCGUACUGAAUCAUCAGAGAAGGGAUUUCCUCUCAUUAUCAUAUUGGUUCUUUUUCUUGAGGUCAGUGGGCCCGGUGCUUCAGUGCUCUUAGCUUCCCGAUUUCUCUUGGGUGCACUUGUGUUGUUGUUGUUAAUUGGGAGUGAGACCUCGAUCUGUGCUAACCCUUCUUCGUGAAACUUGGAGUAAACGAAGUUUUGGAAACCGAAACACUGCUGAGUGGUAUGUCCUCCUCUGUUGUGGAAGCUGCAAAAAAUUUUGGAUUUGUCUUUCUCCCCAUCUCCUAUAUUCCAUGACUCGGGUCUGGGUUUGUUUGAUCGAGGUUUUGAAGUUUCCUUAUUUGAUUGUCAUCGGUUUUGCUUCAUUCGCUGACCUUACAGCUCCGAUCUUGUGAAUUUCCGUCUCUUCUCAAUCCUCCUCGUCGUCUUUGCCUAUCGUCGCAUGUUUUUCAGCAAACACCUUCUUUUCUUCUUCCAUUUCCAUGUAUUUUGAAGCUCUGUGGAGAGAGUCUUCCAGUGUGGAUGGUUUGCUAAGCAAGAAUUCUUCAUAAAUGCGUAAUUCAUGCCAUAAGUCAUUUAGCAGUGGAGAUAUGCAUGCACAGUCACUCACAACAAUGUUAGAGGGGAUGGUUUUUAACCUUCUAAUGAAAGAUCGAAGCGGCUCUCCUUAUCUCUGGGACACUGUUCACAGAUCGGUGUCAUAAGCUCUUUUCUCUAUACACAUAGAGUAGUGCUUCACAAACACAAUCGACAGCUGGUUAAAGUUGUUGAUGUGUUGGUCUAUACACGAGAAAUAGAGUUGAGAGCCGGUCCUACCAGAUUCUCGACGAAGAACUUGCAGUAACCGACAUCUUGUUAUCCAUCGUUGAAGAGCUGAGCUGAUGACUCGAUGGAACUGGGAUUGCAUCAAUCGGGAGGUCGGCAUGGUCUGGAAUGGUUGCUGUCGGAUCUGUUGAGUCAUGCUGGAGUGUAUGUCUUCCCUAGGACUACAUUUCAUGGAGUUCUCGAUGAUGAGGCUAGUAAGUCGUUGAUCUGAGCUUGUUGUCCCACCUUGGUUUGCAUGAUUUGCUCCAGACGAUGCAUGGCUUGUUGUUCUGAUGUAUCAUGUUAACGUGCAUUGAAGUAGAACAGAAAAACAUGUCGUAAAUUUUUUUGGUACCUGGUUUAUCAGAGCCGUUGUAUCGACAGUCAGUACUGGCGGUAGUUCCGCCAUUUGGGAUGGCGGAAUGGGCAAAACAAAAGUCCAUCUUGGCCAAACUGAUGUGUUCCAGGCUGCUGGGCAAUCGGAUUUCCAUCUGAAUCGAGCGGGGUCUGGAUGAAUGGUGUGCCACUCGGGUUAAGCUAUUUCAUUCAUCCUUGGAAUUAUUAAUGUUUAUGUUGCUUCCUGUAGCACCAGAUGUGUCUUGUCCAGCCAUUGGUGACACAUCCAGCCAUUGUGGUCUGUGUUUCAAGUCAAAUUAUUCAAAAGGGUGUUUUAUGUUUAAUCGCCCUUAAUUCUAGUAGUCCGCUUAGAAAGUAGGAUUUAAUGUUUUGAUAACAUAUAUAAAAAAAAAAAGUUUAACGACAAAAAUUUUCCAGAAAUUCCUAAUUUUCAGAAUUCACCCUCUGAAUCUAUCAAACCAAAAAGAUACGAUAUAAAACCAAAACUAAACCGAAAUGCACACCCCCACCGAAGAGGAGGUAAAGACUUGCAAUAUUUGCUUAGGGAUGUGAAGUUUUAUUGUUCUACAUAAAGAACUGAAUGAAAAACUUCAAAAAAAAGUAUAGCAACAACUCUAAGAUUAUUACACAGCUCUGUAGACAACUUACAAUGAUUAUUACACAAGUCUGUAGACAACUUACAAGAACUGGAUCCAAAGUUCAUGAACAAACACAAA